This 2333-nucleotide long non-coding RNA is filed under the name Homo sapiens (human). RNAcentral describes it as "HSALNT0300197". The record is from RNAcentral. Lineage: Eukaryota; Metazoa; Chordata; Mammalia; Primates; Hominidae.
GCUGGCUGAUUCAGCCAUACAGGAGAGUUUGCCUGGGAAUGGAUACCCCAGUGGCUGCUACUUUGACUGAUAAAGCAAGCCCAGGAAGAUGGUUGAGAAUAGUUUGUGCACUCCGAUUAUCUCUGACAUUUUCCCAACUCAUAGUUGGAGCAGAGCUAUGACAAAGGCAUGCAUGUUGCUAGUGCAGACAUCCUCUUGGCUGUUAAGGGCUGAAUUCUGUACCCCCACGUUCAUAUGUUGAAACCCUAACAUCCAAUAUCUCAAAAUGUGCCUGUGGAGACAGGGCCUUCAAAGAGGUUGCUGAAUUAAAAUUUGGUCAUAUGGGUGGGCCUAAUCCAAUCUCACCUGUGUGUUUAUAAAAGGAGAUUAGAACACAGACACGCCAGGGGGAAGACCAUGUAGGGAAACAGGGCAAAGGAACUGCCUGCAAGCAAGAGAGAGGCCACAGAGGGAACCAACUCCGCAGACAUUUCGAUCUCGGGCUUCCAGCCUCCAGAACUAUGAGACAAUACAUUUCUACUGUUUAGCCACCCAGUCUUCAUACUUUGUUACAGGGGCCCUAGCCACCUGUAGACCAGCAUAGGGUCAAAAAGCUGUCAUGACCAAGUGCCCACACUGGGUCAGCAGUCCCAGAAGCAGUAUCAGAAUCAUCUGUGCAGAUAAAACUCUGAAGUCCAAGAAAGAGCCAUUGGCACACAAAUAAGACCAGAACAAAUCAGGGAACCAGGUGAUGACCUUUACUGUCAGAGAUCCGUGUAUACAGUACAGUCAGCUGACAAGAGGGCUCUCAAUCGUGGCCACAUAUUUGAAUCACCUGGGGAGCUGUUAAAACCCAUGACACUAGGUCACAACCUAGACAAAUGAAAUCGGAAUCCCUGGAGGGUGAGACCCAGGCAUCAAGAAGGAUUUAAGAUCUCUGCAAGAUUCAAAUAGGCAGCCAAAGUUGAGAACAGCUGGCUUAAAGAGAUUACGAGACUUUGUUACAGUAUCUCAGCACGGAUUACAUUUCAAUUUAGUUCUUUGCUAUUAUUCUUAUCCUCUGAAAUGUUUACACCACACGACGGCCUAUCACUGGCUCUGAAUUUUAUAUCAUAAUCACAUAAUAGGUUCCUCACUUAAGUUGUAGACAUAGGCAAAACUUUUCUUGUUUUUGAUGUAAGAUAAAGGGAGAGAAUGACUGGAGCAAAACAAAAAUAAGAUAAUACAAAAUAAGUCAUGGGGUGGCAUCACAUUUUAAGAGUCUUCAUUUAUGACAAAAGCACAAGCUUAUUUGUUGGGGACAUAACUUUUGCCAUUUUUCCUACCUUGACUGUUUAAGCUCGCAGCAAUUUUAUAGCUCGCUGUACAGGCUAAGGCUUUUGGUGCCUUUCUUUUUUAAGCUGUGUCAAAAUACCUUUAAGGAAAAAAGAUGAUUUGAAAGGUAUAAACCCAACGAAAGUAAUAGCACAGUUACAGUUUUUGUGUUUGGGCAGAUUUUAAGACAUUUCUAUGUAUUUUUCUGACACAAUGGAUCCUAAGGACUGCCGUAGACGUAGAUUAGUCUGAUUUUAGGCCAUUGCUUUGCAGCAUUAUGCAGUUUUUAUCUGAAAGACGUUUCAAGAGGGGGAGCUAGUUAGCUAAUUAAUUAGAGAUUGUGACUUAAAUUUUUCAGACAAGAGAUACUUUCCGAGUUUAAGGAGAACCCGAAGAAAGCUGCGUUUCUGUAUCCGUGCCAUGGGAAGUCUCCUGUCCUGUUUCCACUCUGCCUUCUCCAUAAAGCAGGCUGAUUAUCAGGGCCCUCACACAAGCCCAGCGUGGUAGCUGAUUAAGGCUUGACAAGCAAAAAGCAAACAGGAUUUCUAAUCAUGUGUCUCAUAGAAAUGGAGCCACAAAAACCCAAAGAAUUGCCAUUACACCCCAAGUCAUGCAAUUUAGAGCAACUCAGGAAAUAGGUGCACACAAGCAAACCAUGUGGUUAAAGCCUUUGGAACUGGUUUGAGCAAAGCUGUAGGUGAUUUGACAAAAUCAUCUGCAAAACCAGAUUUCUAACACCUCCCUGCUGUGUAUCUCAUUUCUGCUGAUGUGUGGUGCUUCAUAAGAUGGGGACGUUAAGCAUGCAGCAACUACAGUCAUUUGUUCUCAGAGGUCUGGACCAAAGAGAAACAAGAAAAGCUGGAGUCACACUACCAAAGGCCGAAGCUGAGCAACAGAGCUCUGGAGUCAGCUGCCUGGGUUCAGCAUGCAGCGCUGCCGUGGACGAUCUGUCUCUCUUGCAUAUAUGACUUACCAGUUUUACUUUCAGUCUCUCCAUUUCUAAUUAAAUGAGAUGCAGAAAUGCUGGUGCCUUGCUAUGA